Molecule: ribosomal RNA, 1816 nt
Filed under: Salmonella enterica
Lineage: Bacteria; Pseudomonadati; Pseudomonadota; Gammaproteobacteria; Enterobacterales; Enterobacteriaceae
Description: partial 23S ribosomal RNA
Rfam family: Bacterial large subunit ribosomal RNA
Source: RNAcentral
CUCACUGGUCGAGUCGGCCUGCGCGGAAGAUGUAACGGGGCUAAACCAUGCACCGAAGCUGCGGCAGCGACGCUUAUGCGUUGUUGGGUAGGGGAGCGUUCUGUAAGCCUGUGAAGGUGUGUCGUGAGGCAUGCUGGAGGUAUCAGAAGUGCGAAUGCUGACAUAAGUAACGAUAAAGCGGGUGAAAAGCCCGCUCGCCGGAAGACCAAGGGUUCCUGUCCAACGUUAAUCGGGGCAGGGUGAGUCGACCCCUAAGGCGAGGCCGAAAGGCGUAGUCGAUGGGAAACGGGUUAAUAUUCCCGUACUUGGUGUUACUGCGAAGGGGGGACGGAGAAGGCUAUGUUGGCCGGGCGACGGUUGUCCCGGUUUAAGCGUGUAGGUGUGUGUUCCAGGUAAAUCCGGUUCACUUUAACACUGAGGCGUGAUGACGAGGCACUACGGUGCUGAAGUAACAAAUGCCCUGCUUCCAGGAAAAGCCUCUAAGCAUCAGGUAACAUCAAAUCGUACCCCAAACCGACACAGGUGGUCAGGUAGAGAAUACCAAGGCGCUUGAGAGAACUCGGGUGAAGGAACUAGGCAAAAUGGUGCCGUAACUUCGGGAGAAGGCACGCUGACACGUAGGUGAAGUGAUUUACUCACGGAGCUGAAGUCAGUCGAAGAUACCAGCUGGCUGCAACUGUUUAUUAAAAACACAGCACUGUGCAAACACGAAAGUGGACGUAUACGGUGUGACGCCUGCCCGGUGCCGGAAGGUUAAUUGAUGGGGUCAGCGCAAGCGAAGCUCCUGAUCGAAGCCCCGGUAAACGGCGGCCGUAACUAUAACGGUCCUAAGGUAGCGAAAUUCCUUGUCGGGUAAGUUCCGACCUGCACGAAUGGCGUAAUGAUGGCCAGGCUGUCUCCACCCGAGACUCAGUGAAAUUGAACUCGCUGUGAAGAUGCAGUGUACCCGCGGCAAGACGGAAAGACCCCGUGAACCUUUACUAUAGCUUGACACUGAACAUUGAGCCUUGAUGUGUAGGAUAGGUGGGAGGCUUUGAAGUGUGGACGCCAGUCUGCAUGGAGCCGACCUUGAAAUACCACCCUUUAAUGUUUGAUGUUCUAACGUGGACCCGUUACCCGGGUUGCGGACAGUGUCUGGUGGGUAGUUUGACUGGGGCGGUCUCCUCCUAAAGAGUAACGGAGGAGCACGAAGGUUGGCUAAUCCUGGUCGGACAUCAGGAGGUUAGUGCAAUGGCAUAAGCCAGCUUGACUGCGAGCGUGACGGCGCGAGCAGGUGCGAAAGCAGGUCAUAGUGAUCCGGUGGUUCUGAAUGGAAGGGCCAUCGCUCAACGGAUAAAAGGUACUCCGGGGAUAACAGGCUGAUACCGCCCAAGAGUUCAUAUCGACGGCGGUGUUUGGCACCUCGAUGUCGGCUCAUCACAUCCUGGGGCUGAAGUAGGUCCCAAGGGUAUGGCUGUUCGCCAUUUAAAGUGGUACGCGAGCUGGGUUUAGAACGUCGUGAGACAGUUCGGUCCCUAUCUGCCGUGGGCGCUGGAGAACUGAGGGGGGCUGCUCCUAGUACGAGAGGACCGGAGUGGACGCAUCACUGGUGUUCGGGUUGUCAUGCCAAUGGCACUGCCCGGUAGCUAAAUGCGGAAGAGAUAAGUGCUGAAAGCAUCUAAGCACGAAACUUGCCCCGAGAUGAGUUCUCCCUGAGACUUUAGGUCUCCUGAAGGAACGUUGAAGACGACGACGUUGAUAGGCCGGGUGUGUAAGCGCAGCGAUGCGUUGAGCUAACCGGUACUAAUGAACCGUGAGGCUUAACCUUACAACGCCG